CUGCCUUUAGGUUACAUGGGAGCAGCAAGGAGGAUACUUGUAUGGAUGGGAUCUACCACAAUUUGAGCAGCCUCUAGUUUUGAUGGAUGCAAAAUAACAAAUACCUAUUGGAAGUUGCAUAGUUAUGCCUCCUUUUAUUAGGAGAAAAACCCAAGUAUAGUACGACCAAACAGGAAGAACCGAGGGAACCAGGAAUGGCUAAAUUAUUACAAAGCGAUCUCUGCUAUAUCACAGAAAAUAAUUCAGAAGAUUAAGUUUCAGAAUCAC
Molecule: long non-coding RNA, 267 nt
Filed under: Gorilla gorilla gorilla (western lowland gorilla)
Lineage: Eukaryota; Metazoa; Chordata; Mammalia; Primates; Hominidae
Description: lncRNA (ENSGGOG00000044279.1)
Source: RNAcentral